CCCUUGAAAAUGAUGAAAAUCUUGUUUCCAUACUCUCUCACUAGUUAGGUGUUUUAGAGAGAGAAAGAGGAAGCUUUAUUAAUAGCUUGAGAGCUUUUGGAAAGAAGUUCAAAGUUACAAAGCUAUCAAGGUGCUAACGAAGCCCCAUCACCCUAAUUGGAUCAUUAGGGGAAUUAAGAGUCGGCUAAAGGCUCAAUGAAUACUGAUUAAGAGACAACCGGUAACUAGGACGUGGUGUCCUC
This 242-nucleotide small RNA is filed under the name Theobroma cacao (cacao). RNAcentral describes it as "sRNA Tc09v2_g017030". The record is from RNAcentral. Lineage: Eukaryota; Viridiplantae; Streptophyta; Magnoliopsida; Malvales; Malvaceae.